This 117-nucleotide small nuclear RNA is filed under the name Tropilaelaps mercedesae. RNAcentral's name for it is "U5 spliceosomal RNA". It matches the Rfam family "U5 spliceosomal RNA". From Rfam's summary of the family: U5 RNA is a component of both types of known spliceosome. The precise function of this molecule is unknown, though it is known that the 5' loop is required for splice site selection and p220 binding, and that both the 3' stem-loop and the Sm site are important for Sm protein binding and cap methylation. Lineage: Eukaryota; Metazoa; Arthropoda; Arachnida; Mesostigmata; Laelapidae. The record is from Rfam by way of RNAcentral.
GACUUGAGCGAUCCCAGCAUCGACGAAUAUGCGUUUCGCCUUUUACUAAACGCAUCCGUGCUGGGGGACACUUACAAUGAGCCUAAAUGGCAAUUUUUGGAGCCCCUAUAAGGGGCC